This 478-nucleotide ribosomal RNA is filed under the name uncultured bacterium. RNAcentral's name for it is "partial 16S ribosomal RNA". It matches the Rfam family "Bacterial small subunit ribosomal RNA", at positions 28 to 523 of the family's 1533-position model. The record is from RNAcentral.
GACGAACGCUGGCGGCGUGCUUAACACAUGCAAGUCGAGCGAUGAAGCUUCUUCGGAAGUGGAUUAGCGGCGGACGGGUGAGUAACACGUGGGUAACCUGCCUCAUAGAGGGGAAUAGCCUUCCGAAAGGAAGAUUAAUACCGCAUAAGAUUGUAAUAUCGCAUGAUAUAGCAAUUAAAGGAGUAAUCCGCUAUGAGAUGGACCCGCGUCGCAUUAGCUAGUUGGUGAGGUAACGGCUCACCAAGGCGACGAUGCGUAGCCGACCUGAGAGGGUGAUCGGCCACAUUGGGACUGAGACACGGCCCAGACUCCUACGGGAGGCAGCAGUGGGGAAUAUUGCACAAUGGGGGAAACCCUGAUGCAGCAACGCCGCGCGAGUGAGGACGGUCUUCGGAUUGUAAAACUCUGUCUUCAGGGACGAUAAUGACGGUACCUGAGGAGGAAGCCACGGCUAACUACGUGCCAGCCGCCGCGGUAA